UACGUAGGGGGCAAGCGUUGUCCGGAAUCAUUGGGCGUAAAGCGCGUGUAGGCGGUUCGGUAAGUCUGCUGUGAAAGUCCAGGGCUCAACCCUGGGAUGCCGGUGGAUACUGUCGGGCUAGAGUACGGAAGAGGCGAGUGGAAUUCCCGGUGUAGCGGUGAAAUGCGCAGAUAUCGGGAGGAACACCAAUUGCGAAGGCAGCUCGCUGGGACGUCACUGACGCUGAGACGCGAAAGCUAGGGGAGCAAACAGG
Molecule: ribosomal RNA, 253 nt
Filed under: uncultured bacterium
Lineage: Bacteria
Description: partial 16S ribosomal RNA
Rfam family: Bacterial small subunit ribosomal RNA
Source: RNAcentral